AAAAUGCGAUAAGUAAUGUGAAUUGCAGAAUUCAGUGAAUCAUCGAAUCUUUGAACGCACAUUGCGCCCACCAGUAUUCUGGCGGGCAUGCCUGUUCGAGCGUCAUUUCAACCCUCAAGCCCCCGGGUUUGGUGUUGGGGAUCGGGCUGCGGUUCUACCGCGUCCCGGCCCCGAAAUCUAGUGGCGGUCUCGCUGCAGCCUCCAUUGCGUAGUAGCUAACACCUCGCAACUGGAACGCGGCGCGGCCAAGCCGUUAAACCCCCAACUUCUGAAUGUUGACCUCGGAUCAGGUAGGAAUACCCGCUGAACUUAAGC
This 315-nucleotide unclassified non-coding RNA is filed under the name plant metagenome. RNAcentral describes it as "partial contains 5.8S ribosomal RNA, internal transcribed spacer 2, and large subunit ribosomal RNA". The stretch from base 1 to 105 matches the Rfam family "5.8S ribosomal RNA", at positions 50 to 154 of the family's 154-position model. The record is from RNAcentral.